AGGACGAACGCUGGCGGCGUGCUUAACACAUGCAAGUCGAACGGUGAAGCCUUUCGGGGUGGAUCAGUGGCGAACGGGUGAGUAACACGUGGGCAAUCUGCCCUGCAUUCUGGGACAAGCCUUGGAAACGAGGUCUAAUACCGGAUACGACGCAUCCCCGCAUGGGGUGUGCGUGGAAAGCUCCGGCGAUGCAGGAUGAGCCCGCGGCCUAUCAGCUUGUUGGUGGGUGACGGCCUACCAAGGCGACGACGGGUA
Molecule: ribosomal RNA, 255 nt
Filed under: uncultured bacterium
Lineage: Bacteria
Description: partial small subunit ribosomal RNA
Rfam family: Bacterial small subunit ribosomal RNA
Source: RNAcentral